Molecule: ribosomal RNA, 440 nt
Filed under: uncultured bacterium
Lineage: Bacteria
Description: partial 16S ribosomal RNA
Rfam family: Bacterial small subunit ribosomal RNA
Source: RNAcentral
CCUACGGGUGGCAGCAGUGGGGGAUAUUGCACAAUGGGGGGAACCCUGAUGCAGCGACGCCGCGUGAGCGAUGGAGGACUUCGGUAUGUAAAGCUCUGUCAGCAGGGAAGAAAAUGACGGUACCUGACCAAGAAGGCCCGGCUAAAUACGUGCCAGCAGCCGCGGUAAUACGUAGGGGGCAAGCGUUAGCCGGCUUUACUGGGGGUAAAGGGAGCGGAGGCGGCAGGGCAAGCCUGAUGUGAACGCCCGGGGCUCAACCCCGGGACUGCAUUUGGAACUGCCCUGCGGGAGUGCCGGAGGGGCAGGCGGAAUUCCUGGUGUAGCGGUGAAAUCCGUAGAUAUUAGGAGGAACACCAGUGGCGAAGGCGGCCUGCUGGACGGUGACUGACGCUGAGGCUCGAAAGCGUGGGGAGCAAACAGGAUUAGAUACCCCAGUAGUC